CCGCUAUGAAUUGUUUGUUCUUUUGAAACACUUUGGACGGUUUUUUUUCAGCUCAGGCAACAGAAAUUUUGAUACCUCAUGACCAUUUGAUUUUAAGGCUGUUAAAGUUAAGCGGAUGCUGGUGUGUAAUGAGUGGAUAAGCACUUCCGAUCUGACCUUGAAUUAAUGAACGACUAAGUGUUCCAGAUAUUAAAAAAUGCUUUAAAAAACCAUCAUGCCAACUUACGUCAUUGCACGAAUUUGCACUAAUGAGCAACACUUUUUAUACAUUAGCAUUUUUCCUCAGAACAGCAUCAUUAGUCGUGGCUUAACUUAUCCAAGGGGUAGAAUUAAAGUUUGUGACCGUAAAUGAUUAUUUGUUUAUAACAUAACUGAAAAAUUGGUUCAACCAUUUCAACUGAACACGCGCUGAGUUACGCACUAACAAGGAAAAAAAUGGUGGAACCCUCUAACAUCAAAAAGAGGAAACAUCUACUCUUCAACUGUCUGACUUUUCUGAGGUAAACGGAUAAAAAAAGUGAUUCCCGUCACAGUGUCGCUAUAUAUUCAGGGGCGGCAGGGGCCCUUCGGUGAAAGUGGAUGUCGCAGUUCGCAAAGUUGUGCCCUUCUCCUACCAGUGUGCUGAAACGAUCGACCAAAUUUUUCACUCGUUAUGUUUAAAAUUUUGCUCUCUCAGAGCCACACCAAACCUCAAAAUCGGUACAAUCGGUCUAGAUACCAUUCGUUUCACGUCGAUUUACCGAACCUGCUCCGGGCACUCGUAACAUUGCACGUAGCGACGUGGUUUUCGGAAGCGCAGCGACCAGAAUCAGAAUGGUCUCACCUCCACGCCCUGGACUAUGGCCGUGGUGACGUCAUGGAAACGAGUAAUUCCUAUCUCCUGGCUGCAAUCAGCACUAGUCAAUUUGUAACGGCAAAACGCACACCACGGGGCAUUGAAAUCACAAAAAUGGGCGAUGCUGAUACAAGAGUGAAGGCGAAGUACAAGGAGGUCAUACUAGAAAGGGGAUGGAGUCCCGUAAAGCGGGUGGCGCUGGCUGAGAGACUUGCUGGUGGAGUUUUUCAUUACUCCCUGUUGUGGUGCAAUGAGACUGACUACAUGAAAUACAUCGUCUACGGCCGCAAGCUGACGCCGGAUUGUUGCCACUGCAACUGGAGGUGUCCGCUGAUGCGAGACCUGACAUCUCUGACGGUCUCACAAAUCAAAGACGCUGCUUUUUACUUGGAGAAUAUCUACCUAAGCGCAUCAUUCAUUUAA
Molecule: long non-coding RNA, 1258 nt
Filed under: Bemisia tabaci
Lineage: Eukaryota; Metazoa; Arthropoda; Insecta; Hemiptera; Aleyrodidae
Description: lncRNA ENSSSA1UGG011838
Source: RNAcentral